AAAUAGAUAAAGAAACUCAUGAAUUAGUUUUGGAAUUCCAUGGAGUCGGUUUCCUUAGUGGUGAUAAUGAAAGCAAAUACUGGUAGGUAUUUGUUUAGGACGGUUCUAAGGAUAGUUAUAAAAGAAGAACCUGACUGACACAGAUCAACGAGCAGCUCAAACCACUCGAUCUACAAAAUUUUACAUGUAAGUAUCAAUUACGAAAUAAAGGACGUUGGUUUCAAAAGAAAGUUCUGUAAGUACAAAAAUAACCGAAAAUUAACCAAUAGAUACUGGAAGACAGCUAAAGGCAAAACCUAAUAACCUAGGUAGGUUAUAAGCGGAGCUUUGCUGGAUUAUAAGGAGGUACUUA
This is a long non-coding RNA of Maniola jurtina (meadow brown), 352 nucleotides long. RefSeq lists it as uncharacterized. NCBI's taxonomy places the organism in Eukaryota, Metazoa, Arthropoda, Insecta, Lepidoptera, Nymphalidae. The record is from RefSeq and is a predicted model, not a curated record. The transcript has 3 exons.